This 253-nucleotide ribosomal RNA is filed under the name uncultured bacterium. Its description in RNAcentral is "partial 16S ribosomal RNA". It matches the Rfam family "Bacterial small subunit ribosomal RNA", at positions 524 to 776 of the family's 1533-position model. The record is from RNAcentral.
UACGUAGGGUGCGAGCGUUAAUCGGAAUUACUGGGCGUAAAGCGUGCGCAGGCGGUUCGUUGUGUCCGUCGUGAAAUCCCCGGGCUUAACCUGGGAAUGGCGUCUGAAACUACGGAGCUGGAGUGUGGCAGAGGGAGGUAGAAUUCCACGUGUAGCGGUGAAAUGCGUAGAUAUGUGGAGGAAUACCGAUGGCGAAGGCAGCCUCCUGGGCCAACACUGACGCUCAUGCACGAAAGCGUGGGGAGCAAACAGG